Molecule: ribosomal RNA, 1402 nt
Filed under: uncultured bacterium
Lineage: Bacteria
Description: 16S ribosomal RNA
Rfam family: Bacterial small subunit ribosomal RNA
Source: RNAcentral
AGAGUUUGUUCCUGGCUCAGGAUGAACGCUAGCGGCAGGCCUAACACAUGCAAGUCGAGGGGCAGCGGGGGUGAAGUUUACUUCACCCGCCGGCGACCGGCGCACGGGUGAGUAACGCGUAUGGAACCUGCCCGCCACGGGGGAAUAAUCGGGAGAAAUCCCGUCUAAUGCCCCGUAUGCCCACGUGUCCGCACGGACGAGUGGGGAAACCUAUUGGGGUGGCGGAUGGCCAUGCGUCGCAUUAGCUAGUUGGCAGGGCAACGGCCCACCAAGGCGACGAUGCGUAGGGGUUCUGAGAGGAAGGUCCCCCACAUUGGUACUGAGACACGGGCCAAACUCCUACGGGAGGCAGCAGUGAGGAAUAUUGGUCAAUGGGCGAGAGCCUGAACCAGCCAAGCCGCGUGAGGGAAGACGGUCCUAUGGAUUGUAAACCUCUUUUGUCGGGGAACAACGGGCGCCACGUGUGGCGCAUUGAGGGUACCCGAAGAAAAAGCAUCGGCUAACUCCGUGCCAGCAGCCGCGGUAAUACGGAGGAUGCGAGCGUUAUCCGGAUUUAUUGGGUUUAAAGGGUGCGCAGGCGGUCUUUCAAGUCGGCGGUCAAAUUUCGGGGCCCAACCCCGACCUGCCGUCGAAACUGAGAGGCUGGAGUUCGGCAGAGGCUGGCGGAAUGUGCGGUGUAGCGGUGAAAUGCAUAGAUAUCGCGCAGAACUCCGUUUGCGAAGGCGGCCAGCCAUGCCUGGACUGACGCUGAGGCACGAAAGUGUGGGUAUCGAACAGGAUUAGAUACCCUGGUAGUCCACACAGUAAACGAUGAAUACUUGCUGUUCGGUCCGAGUGGGGAUUGGGUGGCGCAGCGAAAGCGUUAAGUAUUCCACCCGGGGAGUACGCCGGCAACGGUGAAACUCAAAGGAAUUGACGGGGGCCCGCACAAGCGGAGGAACAUGUGGUUUAAUUUGAUGAUACGCGAGGAACCUUACCCGGGGUCAAACGCAGGGGGACAGCCGGUGAAAGCCGGUUUCCGGCAACGGCCGCCUGCGAGGUGCUGCAUGGUUGUUGUCAGCUUGUGCCGUGAGGGGUUGGGUUAAGUGUCAUAACGAGCGCAACCCCCGUUUCCGGUUGCUAACGGGGAGAGCCGAGGACUCCGGAGAGACUGCCGGCGCAAGGUGCGAGGAAGGCGGGGAAGACGUCAAAUCAGCCCGGCCCUUACGUCCGGGGCGACACACGUGUUACAAUGGCGGGGCACAGCGGGGUGCUGGUCGGCGACGGCCGGCGGAUCCCGAAAACCCGUCUCAGUUCGGAUUGGAGUCUGCAACCCGACUCCAUGAAGCUGGAUACGCUAGUAAUCGCGCAUCAGCCACGGCGCGGUGAAUACGUUACCGGGCCUUGCACACACCGCCCGUCA